This 253-nucleotide ribosomal RNA is filed under the name uncultured bacterium. Its description in RNAcentral is "partial 16S ribosomal RNA". It matches the Rfam family "Bacterial small subunit ribosomal RNA", at positions 524 to 776 of the family's 1533-position model. The record is from RNAcentral.
UACAGAGGUCUCAAGCGUUGUUCGGAUUCAUUGGGCGUAAAGGGUGCGUAGGCGGUCUGUUAAGUUGGAUGUGAAAACUCUGGGCUCAACCCAGAGCCUGCAUCCAAAACUGGCAGGCUAGAGUUCUGGAGGGGGUAGCGGAAUUCCUGGUGUAGCGGUGAAAUGCGUAGAUAUCAGGAGGAACACCGGUGGCGAAGGCGGCUACCUGGACAGAAACUGACGCUGAGGCACGAAAGCUAGGGGAGCAAACAGG